This 492-nucleotide ribosomal RNA is filed under the name uncultured bacterium. RNAcentral describes it as "partial 16S ribosomal RNA". It matches the Rfam family "Bacterial small subunit ribosomal RNA", at positions 29 to 507 of the family's 1533-position model. The record is from RNAcentral.
AGUGAACGCUGGCGGUAGGCCUAACACAUGCAAGUCGAACGGCAGCACAGUAAGAGCUUGCUCUUACGGGUGGCGAGUGGCAGACGGGUGAGGAAUACAUCGGAAUCUACUUUUUCGUGGGGGAUAACGUAGGGAAACUUACGCUAAUACUGCAUACGACCUACGGGUGAAAGCAGGGGAUCUUCGGACCUUGCGCGAUUGAAUGAGCCGAUGUCGGAUUAGCUAGUUGGCGGGGUAAAGGCCCACCAAGGCGACGAUCCGUAGCUGGUCUGAGAGGAUGAUCAGCCACACUGGAACUGAGACACGGUCCAGACUCCUACGGGAGGCAGCAGUGGGGAAUAUUGGACAAUGGGCGCAAGCCUGAUCCAGCCAUACCGCGUGGGUGAAGAAGGCCUUCGGGUUGUAAAGCCCUUUUGUUGGGAAAGAAAAGCAGCAGGUUAAUACCCCGCUGUUCUGACGGUACCCAAAGAAUAAGCACCGGCUAACUUCGUG